GCGUGUCAUUGUCCAUCGGCCACAUUACGUAGGUGCUGUUGUUCCAAGAGAAACCAAAGCAAGAAUUUGAACUUUCAAGUGCUUCCUGCCAUUGUCUUUUGCUUUUGUUUGUGCUGCUGACUCCAAACCAGAUGGAUCAGGCUCCCCUCCGGCUGAGGGGUGAUGGGAAGUCAACACAGCCUGGCGAGGUUUGACAGCUUUGUCUUCUCUUCUAUUGCCCUUCAUCCGUCAAGCCUGGCCAUCGCACUCAAUCGGCUGUCACAUAUGGAUGUGGGGGAGGAGGUCACCGUGUUCCUGCAGCAUGGAGUAUUUUUUUUCUCUUCUUGGGGUGUACAUGAACUUCACGCACUGCCAUGAGGUGAGCGCUCCCCAGGGUACACGUGUUGCCACCAGCAAUGACACUGCUCCAUUGUGCAGGAAAGGAGAGACCUCUUCCCAAAACCUCUGCACUGCCAUGUUCUUCUGCCAUCAUGAGCACUCAUCUUUGGGUGCCCAGGGAGAGGUGACCUCUGGGUCUCACCCUGGGUGGGACACAGACCUGUGGGUUCAGUGGAAUUUUUGGCUUUUUAACAGGUUUCUCUUCUUGGGGAGAAAUGGUUAACCAGGACAUCAUGGUUUGGCUUGUUUGGGGGAAGACAUGGAUGGGGUUAGGACCUGGAAGAGUGGAAGGUGCUUAGCAGGAGGGAUUGAGGGAUGGCAGAGGGCCUGGGGGGAUCACUGGGGACACGGAGGGGUGGAAGAAUGCAGGGAGAGGGGCUGGCUGGGAGGGAUGGGUAAUAGAGGCCUGGUGGGAUGGGUGGGUAAGGGACAGGGAGAAGAAUGGAGAGAGGCAAAGCUGGACAGCUGGAGGGAUGAUGGGUUGGGAAUGAGUUUCCAUUUUAACUGGGAACUCCUCAUUUAGCCUGAUUCCAAGAGUGUUCUGUGGCUGGGAGCAGAUCCUGAAGGCAAGCCAAGGAGAGCAGCAUCUCCAGCAGCAUGGUCAGGUGAUGGCAGAUCUCAGCCCAGCUGUGCUGGUGGUGUCCUCCUGGCUCUUUUUACGAAGAGGCUCUCCAGAAGGGGAAAAUUCCCCAAGCAGCUGCACAUUUAUCCCAGUAAGAUGGCUAUGGCUCUGCUGACUCCUCCUCAGUGGGGCAUGGAGGACGUGAACAUGAGCACGGAGCAGUGGCAGAGUGGGGCAGUGAGCAGAGCCCUGCACAGCACUGGCUGGAGGAGACAAGGACAGAGGGGACAUUGGCUGGCCAGCACUUGGUGGCUCUGCUGUGAGGUAUUUGUGGGGCAGCUGAGGCUGUGCCUUCACAGGGAGCCUGAGCAGCACCCUGGAACUGAUGGUUUCUGCUCUGAAAUGUGACAGCAUAAUGAACAGAUCCUGCCUUCAAAUGAAUCCUGCAACCAAGGACAGCCUCUGCUUGCAAGCAGUGAUUC
RNAcentral lists this long non-coding RNA (1422 nucleotides) under Lonchura striata (white-rumped munia). Its description in RNAcentral is "domestica (Bengalese finch) lncRNA (ENSLSDG00000014815.1)". The record is from RNAcentral. Lineage: Eukaryota; Metazoa; Chordata; Aves; Passeriformes; Estrildidae.